RNAcentral lists this unclassified non-coding RNA (223 nucleotides) under Hevea brasiliensis (rubber tree). The record is from RNAcentral. Lineage: Eukaryota; Viridiplantae; Streptophyta; Magnoliopsida; Malpighiales; Euphorbiaceae.
UCUUUCUUCUCUUCUACAGGGCUUACGCUUAUGAGCUCUGCAUAGGCCUUUCUUCGUAACAGCCAAGUCAAGCGAUGACAUUUCACUAACUUCUUCCUCAGGGAACACGUCAGUUUCACUGGAUCUACUCCUUCUCCUAUCACCUCUAUCUGGUUCUUAUCUUUCUCUACUAAAGCUACAGAUUGCACUCCAGAAACGCUGACUAAAAUUUUCAGGGCCCUGG